RNAcentral lists this ribosomal RNA (297 nucleotides) under Ptilocrinus australis. Its description in RNAcentral is "partial 16S ribosomal RNA". It matches the Rfam family "Bacterial large subunit ribosomal RNA", at positions 2307 to 2643 of the family's 2925-position model. The record is from RNAcentral. Lineage: Eukaryota; Metazoa; Echinodermata; Crinoidea; Hyocrinida; Hyocrinidae.
AACUUAAAAAUUUUUGGUUGGGGCAACCGCGAAGAAAAAAAAACCUUCGAAAAUAAAAAAAUAAACAAAUUUAAAACUAAAAAUAAAUGACCCAGAAACUGAGCAAGGGAAAAAGUUACCGUAGGGAUAACAGCGUUAUUUUUUCUGAGAGCUCAUAUUGACGAGAAAGUUUGCGACCUCGAUGUUGGAUCGGGGCCUCCUAGAGGUGCAACAGCCUCUAAAGGCGGGUCUGUUCGACCCAUAAAGCCCUACGUGAUCUGAGUUCACACCGACGUAAGUCAGGUCAGUUUCAAUCUA